Molecule: transfer RNA, 70 nt
Filed under: Pteropus alecto (black flying fox)
Lineage: Eukaryota; Metazoa; Chordata; Mammalia; Chiroptera; Pteropodidae
Rfam family: tRNA
About the family: Transfer RNA (tRNA) molecules are approximately 80 nucleotides in length. Their secondary structure includes four short double-helical elements and three loops (D, anti-codon, and T loops). Further hydrogen bonds mediate the characteristic L-shaped molecular structure. tRNAs have two regions of fundamental functional importance: the anti-codon, which is responsible for specific mRNA codon recognition, and the 3' end, to which the tRNAs corresponding amino acid is attached (by aminoacyl-tRNA synthetases). tRNAs cope with the degeneracy of the genetic code in two manners: having more than one tRNA (with a specific anti-codon) for a particular amino acid; and 'wobble' base-pairing, i.e. permitting non-standard base-pairing at the 3rd anti-codon position.
Source: Rfam by way of RNAcentral
GGCUCCAUAGUGUCACGGUCAGCACAUCUGCUUUACAUGCAAAAGGUCCUGGGUUCCCCAAGUAGAGCCA